RNAcentral lists this ribosomal RNA (254 nucleotides) under uncultured bacterium. Its description in RNAcentral is "partial 16S ribosomal RNA". It matches the Rfam family "Bacterial small subunit ribosomal RNA", at positions 524 to 776 of the family's 1533-position model. The record is from RNAcentral.
UACGUAGGGACCAAGCGUUGUUCGGAUUUACUGGGCGUAAAGGGCGCGUAGGCGGCAAUUCAAGUCAUCUGUGAAAUCUCCGGGCUUAACUCGGAACGGUCAGAUGAUACUGCUUUGCUAGAGUGCGAAAGGGGCAAUCGGAAUUCUUGGUGUAGCGGUGAAAUGCGUAGAUAUCAAGAGGAACACCUGAGGUGAAGACGGGUUGCUGGGCCGACACUGACGCUGAGUGCGCGAAAGCCAGGGGAGCAAACGGG